RNAcentral lists this ribosomal RNA (447 nucleotides) under Triticum aestivum (bread wheat). RNAcentral describes it as "partial small subunit ribosomal RNA". Lineage: Eukaryota; Viridiplantae; Streptophyta; Magnoliopsida; Poales; Poaceae. The record is from RNAcentral.
AUGGCCGAGUUCUUCGGGGACGCGAGCGACAAGAAGUGUGCGCGGCGCCUGGAGGUCCACGGCAUGGAGCCAGCGGAGUUCAAGGCCAUGCUGCACUUCAUCUACACCGACACGGCACCGGAGCUCGACCGACACGACGAUGAGGAGGCGUUGGCGUUGACCUGUCGCCUCCUCGCGGCCGCCGACAGGUAUGGGCUGGACAGGCUCAAGCUGAUAUGCUCGCAGAAGCUCUCUGCUAGCAUUUGCGUCGGGACGGUGGCCAGGAUUCUGGCUCUGGCGGACAUGAACAACUGCCCGCGGCUCAAGGCGACGUGCGUUGAGUUCAUCGUCGGAACGCCGGCGAUUCUUGGUGCCGUGUUGGCGACGGAGGGCUACAAGGACGUGGAGGCGAACUGCCCUUGGGUGCUGGCUGACAUUCUCAAGUCUGCAAGCGGGAGAAAGAAUUGA